Molecule: non-coding RNA, 72 nt
Organism: Coemansia sp. RSA 988
Lineage: Eukaryota; Fungi; Kickxellomycota; Kickxellomycetes; Kickxellales; Kickxellaceae
Source: the annotation of a GenBank genome assembly
UCCGUAAUGGUCUAGUGGCUAUGAUUCCACGCUUUCACCGUGGCGACCGGGGUUCGAUUCCCCGUUACGGAA